GCCGAGGGACAGGUGCUCUGGUAGCCUGGGCUCUGCAGAGAGGCAAGAGGGGUGAAUUCUGAGUCGCGGUCCCGAGGCUGUGCGCACCCAUUCUGCUGAGAGAACGAGACACAUGGUCAGUCUCAGGGAUACCCACGGGGCUGCCUGGGGUGACCUGAGCCACUCUGGGAUGCACUCACUACCAUCGCCUCCUGCAGGAACUGCUAGACUCAACUCAGGACACACCCUCGUCCUGAGGGCAGGCCGGGCGGGAUCCACCCCACCAGAGAAGCCAUAUGGAGGCGAGGGGUCUCUGUCUAGGAAUGAGGGCCUCUCCUUUUCAGUACCAACAGAGUGACCGUCCCCCUGUCCCACCAUCCCAGGGAAGAACCCAGGGGCCCCAGGGAUACAGGCCAUGGACGGGAAACCUACGAGCUUCCUCCCUGUAGCUGGCUUCCUGUGCAGUGAGCUCGAACGCCAUACCGGUACCCAGAGACCCUUGAACAAAAGGCGAACUCACUGCCCCAGGGAAGGCAGGCCCCACCCCACAGGGACCGGGUUGAUUUAGUACUGGACGUGCCCAGCUUGCAUCCCCUUGACAUGUUGCCUAGGAUGUCACCAUACGGAUGGGGCCUGCAUGGCUUCUGACAGCCCACUGGGGCCCCGGAUGUGCACGGGCCCUGUGGGUCUGACCAGCAAGGGGAGCGGCAGGAGGCCGGCAGCACGCAUCUGUCUGAUGAGGGGCCGUCCCCAGGUCAGCCCACUUUUAGACCAGGGGGCAGCGGCGGAUGCUGGCAGGAGCAGAUGUCUUCAUGGCCUCCAUGUCUGUUGGAGAGGCGACAAGCUAUGUGCUCCGGCUGGCACACAGAAGACCUGCACUCACACCUGCCUGGGCCCCAGUUCCACACAAACCAUGCAAUAACCACGUUUGAUUUCAAAGCACGGUCCUUCCUGAUGGGCCUUUUAAGUGAAGCUGUGUCCCCCGAAAGACCAGGAUCGUGAGCCUGUGUCUGACGAUGCUGGGUCUGGUCAGGCUGUGUGCCGUGCGUGUGGGGUGAGUGUGCACACGUGUGUGUGCACAGCAUGUUCCAUGUGUGGUCAGCUUGCCCUCAGGCGUGUUACUUACCUGGGACAGCAAAUGCAUGUGUGUGUAAAGAGGGCUGCUCUUUCUCACCGUGAACCUUUGUUAUCAAAGACAGCACAGCACAGCACAACUUUGGAGGAAAAACGGGUCUGACAGUCACAGCACACGGGCGGCGUCCAGCAGCCGCACAGUUACCUAGCGUGGAGCUAACUGCGCCUUGGCCGCCGUAGGAGGUCCUUCAGGAGGGGCCCAUCGCUGCUCUGUGCGGCCUGGACUGGAGCCUUG
This 1348-nucleotide long non-coding RNA is filed under the name Homo sapiens (human). RNAcentral's name for it is "HSALNT0207290". The record is from RNAcentral. Lineage: Eukaryota; Metazoa; Chordata; Mammalia; Primates; Hominidae.